GUGGGGAAUCUUCCGCAAUGGACGAAAGUCUGACGGAGCAACGCCGCGUGAGUGAAGAAGGUUUUCGGAUCGUAAAGCUCUUUCGUUAGGGACGAACGUGCUCUUUGUGAAUAAUGAGGAGUAAUGACGGUACCUAAAUAAGAAGCCACGGCUAACUACGUGCCAGCAGCCGCGGUAAUACGUAGGUGGCAAGCGUUGUCCGGAAUUAUUGGGCGUAAAGCGCGCGCAGGCGGGAUAUCAAGUCUGUCUUAAAAGUGCGAGGCUCAACCUCGUGAGGGGACAGAAACUGGUAUUCUUGAGUGUCGGAGAGGAAAGUGGAAUUCCAAGUGUAGCGGUGAAAUGCGUAGAGAUUUGGAAGAACACCAGUGGCGAAGGCGACUUUCUGGACGAUGUCUGACGCUGAGGCGCGAAAGCUAGGGGAGCGAACAGGAUUAGAUACCCUUGUAGUCC
This 450-nucleotide ribosomal RNA is filed under the name uncultured bacterium. RNAcentral describes it as "partial 16S ribosomal RNA". It matches the Rfam family "Bacterial small subunit ribosomal RNA", at positions 354 to 796 of the family's 1533-position model. The record is from RNAcentral.